RNAcentral lists this ribosomal RNA (240 nucleotides) under uncultured bacterium. Its description in RNAcentral is "partial 16S ribosomal RNA". It matches the Rfam family "Bacterial small subunit ribosomal RNA", at positions 524 to 763 of the family's 1533-position model. The record is from RNAcentral.
UACGUAGGGGGCAAGCGUUAUCCGGAUUUACUGGGUGUAAAGGGAGCGUAGACGGUAGUGCAAGUCUGGAGUGAAAGGCGGGGGCUCAACCCCCGGACUGCUCUGGAAACUGUACGACUGGAGUGCAGGAGGGGUAAGCGGAAUUCCUAGUGUAGCGGUGAAAUGCGUAGAUAUUAGGAGGAACACCGGUGGCGAAGGCGGCUUACUGGACUGUAACUGACGUUGAGGCUCGAAAGCGUG